GUCGAGCGGUAGCACAGAGAGCUUGCUCUCGGGUGACGAGCGGCGGACGGGUGAGUAAUGUCUGGGAAACUGCCUGAUGGAGGGGGAUAACUACUGGAAACGGUAGCUAAUACCGCAUAAUGUCGCAAGACCAAAGUGGGGGACCUUCGGGCCUCAUGCCAUCAGAUGUGCCCAGAUGGGAUUAGCUAGUAGGUGGGGUAACGGCUCACCUAGGCGACGAUCCCUAGCUGGUCUGAGAGGAUGACCAGCCACACUGGAACUGAGACACGGUCCAGACUCCUACGGGAGGCAGCAGUGGGGAAUAUUGCACAAUGGGCGCAAGCCUGAUGCAGCCAUGCCGCGUGUGUGAAGAAGGCCUUCGGGUUGUAAAGCACUUUCAGCGGGGAGGAAGGCGUUAAGGUUAAUAACCUUGGCGAUUGACGUUACCCGCAGAAGAAGCACCGGCUAACUCCGUGCCAGCAGCCGCGGUAAUACGGAGGGUGCAAGCGUUAAUCGGAAUUACUGGGCGUAAAGCGCACGCAGGCGGUCUGUCAAGUCGGAUGUG
This 544-nucleotide ribosomal RNA is filed under the name Klebsiella pneumoniae. RNAcentral's name for it is "bacterial SSU rRNA". It matches the Rfam family "Bacterial small subunit ribosomal RNA", at positions 61 to 596 of the family's 1533-position model. The record is from RNAcentral. Lineage: Bacteria; Pseudomonadati; Pseudomonadota; Gammaproteobacteria; Enterobacterales; Enterobacteriaceae.